CCUACGGGGGGCAGCAGUGGGGAAUAUUGCGCAAUGGGCGAAAGCCUGACGCAGCGACGCCGCGUGAUGGAUGAAGGUCUUCGGAUCGUAAACCUCUGUCAGCAGGGAAGAACGGUCACUGUGCUAAUCAGCAGUGAAUUGACGGUACCUGCAAAGGAAGCACCGGCUAACUCCGUGCCAGCAGCCGCGGUAAUACGGAGGGUGCGAGCGUUAAUCGGAAUUACUGGGCGUAAAGCGCUCGUAGGCGGUAUGUCAAGUCAAGGGUGAAAUCCCCGCGCUCAACGUGGGAACUGCCUUUGAAACUGGCAAACUGGAGUGUGUGAGAGGAUAGUGGAAUUCCAGGUGUAGGAGUGAAAUCCGUAGAUAUCUGGAGGAACAUCAGUGGCGAAGGCGACUAUCUGGAACAUAACUGACGCUGAGGAGCGAAAGCGUGGGUAGCAAACAGGAUUAGAUACCCUAGUAGUC
RNAcentral lists this ribosomal RNA (465 nucleotides) under uncultured bacterium. RNAcentral describes it as "partial 16S ribosomal RNA". It matches the Rfam family "Bacterial small subunit ribosomal RNA", at positions 338 to 795 of the family's 1533-position model. The record is from RNAcentral.